Gavialis gangeticus (Gharial) is the source of this 624-nucleotide long non-coding RNA. RefSeq lists it as uncharacterized. NCBI's taxonomy places the organism in Eukaryota, Metazoa, Chordata, Crocodylia, Gavialidae. The transcript has 2 exons. The record is from RefSeq and is a predicted model, not a curated record.
CUGUACAGGAUAGAGCGGGCUGCUGCUGAUAACUAGAAUUUUUAGAUAACCAGCACCCUCCUUACCCCACUCACGCUGGAUAACAAAGCUUUCACUAUAAUCAGAUAUAAACGUAGUGUUGAGUUUAUAUCCAACAACAUUUAAAAACAAGAUUUCCAUGAAAAUCAAGUUUGUACCUCAAACCUGAAGUAUUUUAUUUUUAGAAGAGCUGAGCACCUGUAUUUUCUCUGAAGUCAAUGGAAGGGACGUAUUCUAAAUUAAUAAAAGUACUAAGUGCAUUCACACAAAUGGACAAUUCUUCAGUAACAGUACCCCAGAGGUAAUUAAUAAAAAAUGUAUACCAGAUGAAAGAUAAAUAUUAGUUGCUGGUUUCUUACAUACUGCUUCAGAAAGGAGAAGAAUAUAUCAGAGAAAGGUUUUGUCUUAAGCCUAAAACAAACUUUUAGGAAGAGGAACAGCCCAAAGAAGGUAUGUGCACAAAUUCCUCACAUUACUCUUGUUUUAUGAUGCUCUAAUGUGACCAACUGGAGAGCACCUAAACAAGUUCCAAGAAGAGGUUACUUCUGGGUCAUCUCAUGCUAUCUUCACUUGAGUCCUUACUGAUACAGUAAAAAUUUAAUGUUU